Molecule: ribosomal RNA, 479 nt
Filed under: Colletotrichum sp. MFLUCC 10-0676
Lineage: Eukaryota; Fungi; Ascomycota; Sordariomycetes; Glomerellales; Glomerellaceae
Description: eukaryotic LSU rRNA
Rfam family: 5.8S ribosomal RNA (bases 151-304)
Source: RNAcentral
UUUGUGAACAUACCUAUAACUGUUGCUUCGGCGGGUAGGGUCUCCGUGACCCUCCCGGCCUCCCGCCCCCGGGCGGGUCGGCGCCCGCCGGAGGAUAACCAAACUCUGAUUUAACGACGUUUCUUCUGAGUGGUACAAGCAAAUAAUCAAAACUUUUAACAACGGAUCUCUUGGUUCUGGCAUCGAUGAAGAACGCAGCGAAAUGCGAUAAGUAAUGUGAAUUGCAGAAUUCAGUGAAUCAUCGAAUCUUUGAACGCACAUUGCGCCCGCCAGCAUUCUGGCGGGCAUGCCUGUUCGAGCGUCAUUUCAACCCUCAAGCUCUGCUUGGUGUUGGGGCCCUACAGCUGAUGUAGGCCCUCAAAGGUAGUGGCGGACCCUCCCGGAGCCUCCUUUGCGUAGUAACUUUACGUCUCGCACUGGGAUCCGGAGGGACUCUUGCCGUAAAACCCCCCAAUUUUCCAAAGGUUGACCUCGGAUCA